This 511-nucleotide ribosomal RNA is filed under the name uncultured bacterium. RNAcentral describes it as "bacterial SSU rRNA". It matches the Rfam family "Bacterial small subunit ribosomal RNA", at positions 29 to 518 of the family's 1533-position model. The record is from RNAcentral.
AACGAACGCUGGCGGCGUGCUUAACACAUGCAAGUCGAACGCGAAAGGGACUUCGGUCCUGAGUAAGGUGGCGCACGGGUGAGUAACGCGUAGAUAACCUGUCUUCAUGUCUGGAAUAAUACGCCGAAAGGGGUACUAAUACCGGAUAUCUUGCUUUUCAUAAGUUAUGCAAGCAAAGGUGGCCUCUGCAUAUGCUACUGCAUGAAGAGGGGUCUGCGUACCAUUAGCUAGUAGGUGGGGUAAUGGCCUACCUAGGCGACGAUGGUUAGCGGGUCUGAGAGGAUGAUCCGCCACACUGGCACUGGAACACGGGCCAGACUCCUACGGGAGGCAGCAGUGAGGAAUAUUGCGCAAUGGGGGAAACCCUGACGCAGCGACGCCGCGUGAGUGAGGGAAAGGCCUUCGGGUCGUAAAGCUCUGUCAAGAGGAAAGAAGUGUACAAUGGCUAAUACCUGUUGUAUUUGACGGUACCUCUAAAGGAAGCACCGGCUAACUCCGUGCCAGCAGCUGC